This 1035-nucleotide ribosomal RNA is filed under the name Triticum aestivum (bread wheat). Its description in RNAcentral is "partial small subunit ribosomal RNA". Lineage: Eukaryota; Viridiplantae; Streptophyta; Magnoliopsida; Poales; Poaceae. The record is from RNAcentral.
AUGCACGCCUCCGGAUCCCACGACUUGAGCCACUGGGAUGCGGAGUUCAUCGCUGGUUUCAGCCACGAGGCCCUCUUCGAUCUCAUCCUGGCUUCGGAAUAUCUUCAAAUAAGAGGACUGAUUGACCUAGCCUGCCGUACUAUUGCUAGUAAGAUAAAGGGGAAAUCUCCGCGUGAAAUUUGUAAUAUCUUUAACAUCAAGAGUGUCUUUGCUUCGGAAUUAGAUGAGGAAACAAUAGCAAAGAGAUUGCAAGAUUCCACAACAUGUUCGAGCGACAAGGAGUUGCCAUGCAGUGAGACCCCAUGUUUAAUGCAAGAGCUCGAAUUGGAGGAAAAAGCUUUGCAGGCUCUUGACAUAGUUCGAUGCCAAGAGUUUACGGGAUACGACCCUAAGGUCAACGCUUACACCCAUACCCGAUUCGACAUAUUCAACCUAGCCUUCUUUGACCUUGACAAAGAGUCUGAUUUUUGCCGUGGUCCACGGCUUAACAUGAUACCUUCACCAAUACGUGACUCGGUCGUAGGAUCAUGUGUAAAUGUCAUUACCUUGAAGGUAAAGGAAUCGGAAGUUGGCUUCCCGAUAAAAGUUUUUGGUACCGUUGUAGCAAGAGACCAGGUCGACUAUAGAUGUGUUUAUCUCUUCAGGCGUGAAAGGGAUGAUCCCCAACUCAUCACCUUGGCGGACGGCAAGUUAACUUUGAUGGAUCCAUGCCGAGGGCUUGUUCCGGAGGACAGAAUGUAUUUUGAGAUGAAUUUAAAGAUAGUACGUGAUGGAGGUGAGGUUGAAGAUUUCAGCAAAGGUGUGAUCGUUUUCAACAAGGCCCGCCUCCCUAAUGAUAAGCAGACCAUGGGUGUGAGCCUAAAUAGCUAUCUGAGUAGGGUGGAAGUGAGAUGUGCUUAUGUUGUACAUCCCAUUGAAGCUACCAUUGAAGUCAACAUUUUGCCGCCUGGACUACCAAGAAUUAUGAGUAUAGUAUGGAUCUUUACAACGGUGGUGAAGCAGCAGCAGAGGUUGAGGCAGGAACCGUUCCCUUGA